Molecule: unclassified non-coding RNA, 1014 nt
Filed under: Hevea brasiliensis (rubber tree)
Lineage: Eukaryota; Viridiplantae; Streptophyta; Magnoliopsida; Malpighiales; Euphorbiaceae
Source: RNAcentral
UGUUGUUAGAUUAAGUCAAUGAAAUGAUUUUAUAAUAAUAUAAUUUAUUUUUAAUUAUAUGUAGAAAUAAAUUUUAUUGAAUGGUUUAAUUGACUUGGUUUAUGUAUAAUUAUAUGACCUGACAGACUAUCUUUUGCCUAACAAUUUCUCUUGUCGAGAAAUUCUGAAGUAAAAUACCCAAUUAAACCAAUUAAAAAUAGAUAGAAGAGAAUUUUAAAAAGCUUCGAAUUUCAAUGUUUUUCACCAUUAUUUUUUUCCCUUUCCCAUGUUUCUUUCUUGGACGCUCUUUCAAUCAAGUUUUUGUAUUCAUUUUUUUUGUCUUGCCAAGAAAGACCGCAGUUUAUGAGGCUUAAGGCCCUGUUUAGUUGGAGUAUAGGUCUUGGGAGUAAGAAGGUUAAGAAAGUAAAACUGAGAAGUGUAAAAUAUGUCUUAGUUUGAUUAUCAAACAACUUCCGGAAGUAGGACAUUAUACUUACAUAUGUAAGGAAUUGGUAAGUUGCACUCUCUUAGUUAACUGUAAUAUAAUUUAUGAAUUUGUUGAUUUUGAAUUAUUUUAUGGGUAUUAUUACCUUUUGCAAUUUAGAAAUAAACUACUUCCUGAGAAGCUAAUGCCAUAUGCUGAAUCAAAGGAAGUAUUUACUUUCUUGUAAGCUCAAAGGAGCAUUAAUGCCUUUUGCUUUAGUCAAUUUUAAAUUUUAUCAUUUUCAAUGUUGGAAAAUGGUGUUGAUUCAUUUUUGGUGUUUAAAUAUUAAUUAAUAUAUUAUUUUUAUCUUUUUUGAAGAAAAAUGCACCAUGGCUUUCAGUACCACAGUUUGGUAAUUGGGAUCAGAAGGGUGAAUUGCCAGAUUACUCACUGGAUUUCUCGAAAGUCAGAGAAAUGAGGAAGCAGAACAAGAGGGAUGUGUCAAGAGCCAGUCUUGGCAAUGAAGAAGACUUCAUUAACCCAACAGCCACCAAUGCGCAGGCUGCCCAUGGUAAUCACCACCACCACGAUCAUUACCAUCAAAGCCGCCA